Molecule: transfer RNA, 73 nt
Filed under: Cotesia glomerata
Lineage: Eukaryota; Metazoa; Arthropoda; Insecta; Hymenoptera; Braconidae
Description: tRNA-Glu
Source: RNAcentral
GUCUGGGAUGGCAUUAUAGGAAAAGCCCUUGACUUUCAAUCAGAUGAUCCGAGUUCGAUCCCCGGUCUGGGCG